Molecule: ribosomal RNA, 735 nt
Filed under: Oxalobacteraceae bacterium 25-12PB
Lineage: Bacteria; Pseudomonadati; Pseudomonadota; Betaproteobacteria; Burkholderiales; Oxalobacteraceae
Description: bacterial SSU rRNA
Rfam family: Bacterial small subunit ribosomal RNA
Source: RNAcentral
GAACGUACCCUGGAGUGGGGGAUAACGUAGCGAAAGUUACGCUAAUACCGCAUACGAUCUAAGGAUGAAAGCAGGGGACCGCAAGGCCUUGUGCUCCUGGAGCGGCCGAUAUCUGAUUAGCUAGUUGGUGGGGUAAAGGCCUACCAAGGCAUCGAUCAGUAGCUGGUCUGAGAGGACGACCAGCCACACUGGAACUGAGACACGGUCCAGACUCCUACGGGAGGCAGCAGUGGGGAAUUUUGGACAAUGGGCGCAAGCCUGAUCCAGCAAUGCCGCGUGAGUGAAGAAGGCCUUCGGGUUGUAAAGCUCUUUUGUCAGGGAAGAAACGGUGGAGGCUAAUAUCCUUUGCUAAUGACGGUACCUGAAGAAUAAGCACCGGCUAACUACGUGCCAGCAGCCGCGGUAAUACGUAGGGUGCAAGCGUUAAUCGGAAUUACUGGGCGUAAAGCGUGCGCAGGCGGUUUUGUAAGUCUGUCGUGAAAUCCCCGGGCUCAACCUGGGAAUUGCGAUGGAGACUGCAAGGCUAGAAUCUGGCAGAGGGGGGUAGAAUUCCACGUGUAGCAGUGAAAUGCGUAGAGAUGUGGAGGAACACCGAUGGCGAAGGCAGCCCCCUGGGUCAAGAUUGACGCUCAUGCACGAAAGCGUGGGGAGCAAACAGGAUUAGAUACCCUGGUAGUCCACGCCCUAAACGAUGUCUACUAGUUGUCGGGUUUUAAUUAACUUGGUAACGCAGCU